CAGGGGUGCGUUUCCCAAAAGCAUCGUUGCUAACUACGGUAGCAACUAACAUGGUUGCAACUAUGUAUGGGUAGGCCUGUCAUGGGAGGCGGAAAAAUGGCCAGCAGGAAGGUGUGCAGCAGCCACUGGAAUGACCUCUUCCACCUCCUCCACUAACAGCUCCUCAUCAGCCGGCAGUGGGAUGUGAUCCUGAAGGGCCAUGUUGCAGAAGCGCCGUCAC
Molecule: long non-coding RNA, 220 nt
Organism: Alosa alosa (allis shad)
Lineage: Eukaryota; Metazoa; Chordata; Actinopteri; Clupeiformes; Clupeidae
Exons: 3
Source: RefSeq, a predicted model, not a curated record